RNAcentral lists this long non-coding RNA (239 nucleotides) under Anser brachyrhynchus (Pink-footed goose). Its description in RNAcentral is "lncRNA (ENSABRG00000002778.1)". Lineage: Eukaryota; Metazoa; Chordata; Aves; Anseriformes; Anatidae. The record is from RNAcentral.
AACAAUUGUCCUCACAAGCAAAACAUCAUUUUCAUCAUUAUUCAUCUGCUUUUAAGUGUCGAACUUCGGUGCUUCACAGGAUACAAAAAAAUCAUAGAAUUGCAGAUGCCACUGCUCUGCUCUACAUCUUAAUUCUACACUUAUGGAAGAUGACUUACUUUCAUCUGUGUUGUCUGGAAGAAAAACAUAGCAUGUGUUGAAGAAGAUGCUUUCCUCAAAGAUUCUUCAGACUUCAAGGG